UACGGGGGAUGCAAGCGUUAUCCGGAUUUAUUGGGUUUAAAGGGUGCUUAGGCGGCAUGGUAAGCCAGAUGUGAAAGCCUUGGGCUUAACCCGAGGAUUGCAUUUGGAACUAUCAAGCUAGAGUACAGGAGAGGAAAGCGGAAUUCCUAGUGUAGCGGUGAAAUGCGUAGAUAUUAGGAAGAACACCAGUGGCGAAGGCGGCUUUCUGGACUGAAACUGACGCUGAGGCACGAAAGCGUGGGGAGCGAACAGG
RNAcentral lists this ribosomal RNA (253 nucleotides) under uncultured bacterium. RNAcentral describes it as "partial 16S ribosomal RNA". It matches the Rfam family "Bacterial small subunit ribosomal RNA", at positions 524 to 776 of the family's 1533-position model. The record is from RNAcentral.